RNAcentral lists this non-coding RNA (113 nucleotides) under Heterosigma akashiwo. Lineage: Eukaryota; Raphidophyceae; Chattonellales; Chattonellaceae. The record is from RNAcentral.
UUGAAGUGUUCGACGUCUUUUUUCAUGUUCGCAUCACUCCUGUAUGCAAUAGAAAGCUUUGUCACGGGACCCGCCUUCUUCACCUGCAGUAGGCGUUGCUGCCUCCAAAAAAA